AGUGAAUAACUUCAGUUUUUUAAAUAAUUUAUUAGUUUUUUAACGACUGAUAGAUCGAGAAGCCGGUGUCAGCUGACAGUUCGAUGACUUCGCUCGAGAACUUUCGCGACACUUCGGUGUAUAUAAAUGUUUUUAUUUUGGAAAUAAUUUUAGACAGUUGUAUAAUUGAGAUUUAUCAAUGUUUUGAUUUCUACAAAUAGUACCAAAAUAUUUCUCGCAUAAACUAUUUUGGCGGUUAUUUAUCUACAUAUUUGUUGCCAAGGUGAAGUUUACGCCUAUCUGUAUUUGGAUCCAGAACAGAAUAGGAAAGAAAAUACCAGAAAAGUCUAUCUGUUUCUAGGUUACAGAAGAGCGAGUGCGAUAGACGACUACUACUACUACCUAUUACCCUUGUUUACGAGUUACGAGCCUCGAAAGCUCGAGAUUGGUCGAGGAUAUGAGCUAACUGGUCGUUGGAGAAUAGAACGAAAGUGCAAGUGGAAUCAGCCAAAAUAAAAGCAAGAGUGAGAGAGAGGUGAAUUUCAGCUGAAAAAUUUUAUAGGUAUUGAUUGCAAAUAAAAUACUGCGAAUAAUUUUUUCUGUUUAUGAAACCGGAGAGCUCUCGAAUGUUCGUUGGAAGUCGGUUACUUACAAGAUUAGGGGACUGAAGAGAAGAAAGGAAGAAAUUCGACAGUUCAUUAUACUGUUUAUAUAAUUUAUCUUCUGUUAUGCUUUAUAUAAUAAUAACAAACGUCAGCUGUUUGCUGGAAGAAAAAAAUAAAAUUCAACCGUCUGUAUAUAUACAAUAGGGUUCUAGUAAGUAUAUAAAUA
Long non-coding RNA from Cotesia glomerata, 810 nucleotides. RefSeq lists it as uncharacterized. The record is from RefSeq and is a predicted model, not a curated record. Lineage: Eukaryota; Metazoa; Arthropoda; Insecta; Hymenoptera; Braconidae. The transcript has 4 exons.